AACCUUUAGCCAAACAAAUAUUAAAGGCAACGCCUGCCCAGUGAACAAUUAAACGGCCGCGGUACCCUAACCGUGCAAAGGUAGCGCAAUCACUUGUCUAUUAAUUGUAGACCCGUAUGAAAGGCAAAAUGAGGGCCUAACUGUCUCUUAUAAUAAAUCAAUUAAACUGAUCUCCCAGUCCAAAAGCUGGAAUACCAACAUAAGACCAGAAGACCCUGUGAAGCUUAAACUAAACUAUUAAACCCCUUAAUAAAUACUUUCGGUUGGGGCGACCUUGGAAAAAAAAAGAACUUCCAAACACUACGACACUACCACGUACUAUACAGGCCAACAAGCCAAACAUUGACCCAGCUAAAGCUGACAACUGAACCAAGUUACUCCAGGGAUAACAGCGCUAUCUUCCUCAAGAGCCCAUAUCAAAAGGAAGGUUUACGACCUCGAUGUUGGAUCAGGACAUCCUAAUGGUGCAGCAGCUAUUAAGGGUUCGUUUGUUCAACGAUUAACAGUCCC
Molecule: ribosomal RNA, 510 nt
Filed under: Polemon acanthias
Lineage: Eukaryota; Metazoa; Chordata; Lepidosauria; Squamata; Lamprophiidae
Description: partial 16S ribosomal RNA
Rfam family: Bacterial large subunit ribosomal RNA
Source: RNAcentral